GUGAGGAAUAUUGCGCAAUGGAGGCAACUCUGACGCAGCCAUGCCGCGUGCAGGAAGAAGGCGCUACGCGUUGUAAACUGCUUUUAACCGGGAAGAAACCCCAGGACGUGUCCUGGGUUGACGGUACCGGAGGAAUAAGCACCGGCUAACUUCGUGCCAGCAGCCGCGGUAAUACGAAGGGUGCAAGCGUUAUCCGGAUUCAUUGGGUUUAAAGGGUGCGUAGGCGGAGCGUUAAGUCAGUGGUGAAAUCCUGCAGCUUAACUGUAGACUUGCCAUUGAUACUGGCGCUCUUGAGUGCGCUUGAAGUGGGCGGAAUGUGCCGUGUAGCGGUGGAAUGCUUAGAUAUGGCACAGAACACCAAUUGCGAAGGCAGCUCACUAAGGCGAUACUGACGCUGAGGCACGAAAGCGUGGGGAUCGAACAGGAUUAGAUACCCGUGUAGUCC
RNAcentral lists this ribosomal RNA (445 nucleotides) under uncultured bacterium. Its description in RNAcentral is "partial 16S ribosomal RNA". It matches the Rfam family "Bacterial small subunit ribosomal RNA", at positions 354 to 796 of the family's 1533-position model. The record is from RNAcentral.